AGGAAAGGAUACCGAUAUAAUGUAGAGACUGAAUAAAACCUCAACCAAACUGAAGAGUAAAAAAAAAAAAAAAAAAAAAAAAAAAAUUAUCAGGAAUGUUAGUAUAACUCAGGGCAGAAAGACCACUUCAUGAUAGUAGCAACUUCUAAAACGAAUCCAGAAGGAAGCAGAAAUUCAGAGGUUAUAUUCUAAAAUCCAUAUAGCACACCAAUCAUCAUUUCUUAGGAAGGGCGUUAUCUGCUCAUUUCUGCUUGUAUUUUUUUAUAGUUUGUUGGCAUUUUAGGAGAUGACUGAAGCACUCCUUAGCUUAAGCUAGAAGGGACUCAUACAGAAGGUGCAGUUCCUCAAGUUCAGCUUGAAGCUGUUGCUAAGAGUGGGGUCUUUUCUUAGCUUCAGAAGGAGCCCCAAGAGCUGUCAAACUGAAGGAAAAGGGGAAAAACAACGGUACCACAUGUGAAUAUAAAAAAGAAGAGAACUCUAGCCAAUUGCACCACCACCGGAUGGCAGAGCCCAGCUGACACAACCUGGUUUAGGGAGCUUUGGGUUUACUCCUUUUACUUCAGGAAAGCCUCAACCCAGUUACUGCAACUUCUGAAGUAUGGCCUGAAUAGAUUGAGUCAUUAUUAUCAAUCCAUUAUCAAAUAGGACGAUCUGAAGACGCAAACAAGUACACACAAAGAGCAUGCCAUUAGCACUCUGCCCUGACAGCUACAGAAGACAC
Molecule: long non-coding RNA, 721 nt
Filed under: Meriones unguiculatus (Mongolian gerbil)
Lineage: Eukaryota; Metazoa; Chordata; Mammalia; Rodentia; Muridae
Description: lncRNA (ENSMUGG00000023844.1)
Source: RNAcentral